GACCUUGUGUCCACUGAGCUAUGGGGAAAGCUUCCUUCUCAGCAGUGCCUGAGCUUGAGGCCAAGAUCAGCCCUUGAGGACUGUGGAUCAUCAAAAGGAUGGCCAUGGUAGGGAACGCCAUUUUCCUACCUCAGACGUUC
RNAcentral lists this non-coding RNA (140 nucleotides) under Mus pahari (shrew mouse). Lineage: Eukaryota; Metazoa; Chordata; Mammalia; Rodentia; Muridae. The record is from RNAcentral.